Molecule: unclassified non-coding RNA, 337 nt
Filed under: soil metagenome
Description: partial contains 5.8S ribosomal RNA, internal transcribed spacer 2, and large subunit ribosomal RNA
Rfam family: 5.8S ribosomal RNA (bases 1-120)
Source: RNAcentral
GAUGAAGAACGUAGCGAAAUGCGAUAAGUAGUGUGAAUUGCAGAAUUCAGUGAAUCAUCGAAUCUUUGAACGCACAUUGCGCCCCUUGGUAUUCCAUGGGGCAUGCCUGUUCGAGCGUCAUUUGUACCUUCAAGCUCUGCUUGGUGUUGGGUGUUUGUCUCGCCUCUGCGUGUAGACUCGCCUCAAAACAAUUGGCAGCCGGCGUAUUGAUUUCGGAGCGCAGUACAUCUCGCGCUUUGCACUCAUAACGACGACGUCCAAAAGUACAUUUUUACACUCUUGACCUCGGAUCAGGUAGGGAAACCCGCUGAACUUAAGCAUAUCAAUAAGCGGAGGA